This 927-nucleotide ribosomal RNA is filed under the name Rhizopogon sp. Its description in RNAcentral is "eukaryotic LSU rRNA". The stretch from base 340 to 494 matches the Rfam family "5.8S ribosomal RNA". The record is from RNAcentral. Lineage: Eukaryota; Fungi; Basidiomycota; Agaricomycetes; Boletales; Rhizopogonaceae.
CAAGGUUUCCGUAGGUGACCUGCGGAAGGAUCAUUAAUGAAUGUAACACCGGAGGGAGGAAUAUGGGGGACAAAAGCUGUCGCUGGCCUUUGACUAGGCAUGUGCACGCAAGUCUCCUGAGGACCUCUCGACGUCUUUCAUCUUCUCACCUGUGCACCUAAUGUAGGUCGGCAUUGGUUUUGGUAAAACAGAACCAUGCGAGUGCCUCUCUCUGUGGGGGGAGGUCGAGAACCUAUGUAUUAUAAAAAAAUACAUCUUCGUGUAGAAAGUCUUUGAAUGUUUACGAUCAUAGAGCCGCGACUUCUAGGAGACGCGGGUCUUUGAGAUAAAAGUUAUUACAACUUUCAGCAAUGGAUCUCUUGGCUCUCGCAUCGAUGAAGAACGCAGCGAAAAGCGAUAUGUAAUGUGAAUUGCAGAUCUACAGUGAAUCAUCGAAUCUUUGAACGCACCUUGCGCUCCUUGGUAUUCCGAGGAGCAUGCCUGUUUGAGUGUCAGUUAAUUCAUCAACCCCUCUCGAUUAGCUUCGAGGGGGAGCUUGGAUAGUGGGGGUUGCCGGAGACUUGGGGCUAGUUCCCAAGACUCGGGCUCUCCUGAAAUGCAUUGGCUUGCAGUUGACUUUUCGAGUUUGCGCGACAAGGCUUUCGGCGUGAUAAUGAUCGCCGUGUGCUGAAGUGCAUGAAUGAAAACUUGUCCUGUGCCUCUAAUACACGUCGACCGAUGGAUGAAAAUCUCUCUUUACGGAGUGAUUUUUAUUUAUUACCAUGGUCUUCAUUUGACAUUUUGACCUCAAAUCAGGUAGGACUACCCGCUGAACUUAAGCAUAUCAAUAAGCGGAGGAAAAGAAACUAACAAGGAUUCCCCUAGUAACUGCGAGUGAACCGGGAAGAGCUCAAAUUUUGAAUCUGGUGGUCUUUUGGCCAUCCGAGU